Molecule: ribosomal RNA, 497 nt
Filed under: uncultured bacterium
Lineage: Bacteria
Description: partial 16S ribosomal RNA
Rfam family: Bacterial small subunit ribosomal RNA
Source: RNAcentral
GACGAACGCUGGCGGCGUGCCUAAUACAUGCAAGUUGAGCGCUGAAGGUUGGUACUUGUACCAACUGGAUGAGCAGCGAACGGGUGAGUAACGCGUGGGGAAUCUGCCUUUGAGCGGGGGACAACAUUUGGAAACGAAUGCUAAUACCGCAUAAAAACUUUAAACACAAGUUUUAAGUUUGAAAGAUGCAAUUGCAUCACUCAAAGAUGAUCCCGCGUUGUAUUAGCUAGUUGGUGAGGUAAAGGCUCACCAAGGCGAUGAUACAUAGCCGACCUGAGAGGGUGUUCGGCCACAUUGGGACUGUGACACGGCCCAAACGCCUCCGGGAGGCAGCCGUAGGGAAUCUUCGGCAAUGGGCGGAAGUCUGACCGAGCAACGCCGCGUGAGUGAAGAAGGUUUUCGGAUCGUAAAACUCUGUUGGUAGAGAAGAACGUUGGUGAGAGUGGAAAGCUCAUCAAGUGACGGUAACUACCCAGAAAGGGACGGCUAACUACGUG